CUAGACUUGGACUUCCCAGCCUCCAGAAAUGACUUCAUGUGCAAGCGCUUUGCCUUAAUGAGUACUGCAGCAAAUGCACAGUGAGGGACUCUUACCCAAGAAACCUAGAAUGAAAUCUGUGCUGCCUGCUACAACCUGUGGCUUUGGAUUUUCUCGAGGCCCCAGAGCGUCAGAGGAAGUUUUCCGAAUGGCACUCUGCGUGGGAAGGAGCUUGUGCACGUGCACGCUGCCACCAUCUGCCCUCAGCGCUGAUUCAGGAGGCGCUUCUCAACUAUAGCCCACAGUGUGACAACUGAACGUGUCCCCUCACGUUUCCAAAUACGGGGGGUGCAGGAGGCACUGCUCACUGUUGCACCCCCUGACCCACGCUGCCAGUCCUGCCCUCACUGCUGGGUGCUCACUGGGACCCUGGAAAGGUCUAGCUGAGCCUUUUAGGGCAUGAGGAUGUUGGGAGAAUAGAGGUGGCUCCUCUGAGAAGCCUGAGAAGUGAUCAGGCCAACCUUAGAAUCUCUGACUACUAGAGGCUUGACUUGCAGUGAAACCCGUCCUAAUUGAUGAAGAUCCUGUAUCGAGUUAGAGAAAUGGAAGAAACGACGCGGGGGUCUGGUUUGCCAGCCAACAGCUGUGGCUUAAAUCUGAGUCCUUUGGAAAGAAAGGAAGGCAUUCCUUUUAUUUCUAAUAUGGCUAAGGUGCAACAGAACCCCUGAAAUUUACCUGGCUGUGUAGCUGCCCAAAAUAAAGACUUUCCUUUCCCACCACCCCUGCAGCUCCAUGUGGUGUGUGGGCAAAUCCUGGCUGAUGGGAUGUGGGUAGAAGAGACGUGUGCUCAGGAAGAUGGCCCACGCAGGGAAGGAGCAGGUCUUGCGCUCCUCUCCAUCCCACUUGCCAGAAAAUUGCUGCAGUGGACACUGUGGCACUAUAGGUUCUGUGGACGCCACGGGCAUGGUGGUGAGCACCUUCAGCUGCAUGGAAGAGGUGUCAUUUCAGGGCGGUUCUGCACACAAUCUGCCCUGCACACAGGAGCUACUGUAUGAACCUCGCUCCCAGUGUGUGAGGAGAGAAGGACAGAAAUUGGGUCAGCUUUGAUAAACUUUCAUAGUACCUUGAUAUUGCCUUGACCUUCAAGCACAUGAUCUGUGGACCCACCUCAAUAUAUUGACCAGGCCUGGGCAUGAGUCAGGCACUUUUUAAGCCCAAUAAAGCUACAUAGGGGUCUGAGAUCGAUUGGAAAUUUAAAUGAUACUAGAAAUAAUGACAGUCGUACUCCAGAUUGUGUGAGAAACACAUCUGUAAGGGACGGCAGAGUCACGGAGAAAAGGAGGCAGGGCCUGGGUACCAUGGAACCAGCCGAACAGCCCCACCACGAAUCCUCCUACCUUUAGAGAAGAGAGAAACUCUUCCCUGGUUUAAGCUGUCAUAUUUGGGGGCCCAUUUGUUUCUCAGCCUAAGCUGUACCCCGUCGGGUGUGCCUAUAUGUGAAUAGCGUGUGGGCUCAGCUGAUGGACCAGACAUUCCAUGUACUGGCGCAUAACAUUCUGACUCGCGUGCAGUAAGAACAAAAGGAAAUACAGCCCAAUUUGGUAAAAUUCUCUCACAGCCUGGAAAAGAGCAUCCCGAACAGUGGAGAGGAAGAGGGAGUGAGGCCCUGUGGACACAGCAGAGGAAUCCACAAUGGAUUUGCAGCAGGCUGGUGGAGGCAGAGCAGAGAAGGGCGGGAGAGGGCCAGCGAAGGCCUGGGAAGGUGGACCCACAAACUCGUCUCCUAAUGAAGCUAACCAGCAAUGCGAGGGCACACAGGGAGACCCCCUAGAGGCUGCCCCAGGCCAGGAGUCACCUGUGAACUGAGGUGGCCAAGGCAGGUUCUGUGGCAGAGGGUGAAUGCCUGCAGAUGAGAACCAGCCGCGGUGCCCAGAAAGGAACAGUGUGCGGGCCUGACGGGAGCCCCCAUCAAUACAACCAGCUCCUGCUCAGAACUCUCUUCAGGCAGACAAAUAGAAGAUAUGUUUCUACUUCCCCAGGCCUCAGCACCAUGACUAUUCUAGUCCCAGUGGAUACCCUGCUUCAGGUUUUAUGCAGCUGAGUUGAAAAAGAAUAACAGAAUAGGAGGAAAACAAGGGGAAGAAGGUUGCAGUAAAGAAGCCGGCCAAAACCCACCAAAACCAAGAUGGUGACGAGAGUGACUCUGGUCGUCCUCACUGCUACACUCCCAUCAGCGCCAUGACAGUUUACAGAUGCCAUAGCAACGUCUGGAAGUUACCUGUACGGUCUAUAAAGGGGAGGCAUGAAUAAUCCACCCCUUGUUUAGCAUAUCAUCAAGAAAUAACCAUAAAAAUGGGCAACCAGGAGCCCUUGGGGCUCCUCUGCCUAUGGAGUGGCCAUUCUUUUAUUCCUUUACUUUCUCAAUAAACUUGCUUUCACUUUAAAAAAAAAAAAAAAAAAAAAAAAAAAAAAAAAAAAAAAAAAA
This 2464-nucleotide long non-coding RNA is filed under the name Homo sapiens (human). Its description in RNAcentral is "uncharacterized LOC158435 (LOC158435)". Lineage: Eukaryota; Metazoa; Chordata; Mammalia; Primates; Hominidae. The record is from RNAcentral.